RNAcentral lists this transfer RNA (63 nucleotides) under Scelio sp. ZJUH_2016028. Its description in RNAcentral is "tRNA-Tyr". The record is from RNAcentral. Lineage: Eukaryota; Metazoa; Arthropoda; Insecta; Hymenoptera; Scelionidae.
GAUAAUAUGUCUGAUUUAAGUAGUAAAUUGUAAAUUUAUUUAAGAAAUUUGUUUCUGUUAUUA